GGAAAGUUGAAAGGGAGAGGAAAGGGAGAGAAAACCUUCAGACCAUAAUGUAGAUCUAACUCUCUUUCAAACUAUUAUGACUGCAGUCUGCUGACUGCUUUGAGGUCUCUUCAAACAUCAAUAUAAAUGUCCAAAUGUGGAGGGGGAGGCCGUGGGGGAGGUCCAAGAGGCCCCCAGGGCAAAGGAGGUGGAUCCUGUCUCAGCAUUGGCAGUGGAGGGCCUCCCAUGGAGUGGGGCAUGAAGGGAGGUCCUGGAAAAGGAGGGGGACCCCUUGCAGCCAUAUUAACCUUGCCCUCCUCUGUCCACCCAGCAGGGAAUGAGCUUCCAGAGCUGCUGUUCCUCAGGGGAGCUGCACCAGGUCCUGGAUCUCUCUGUGGAGGGGCGUCCACAUCAGGCCUUCCCGGCACCAGUUUCUUAUGUUUCUGGGAUAUUUCCAGUCUAUGUUUCAACUGCUGAGAUGACCAUUUUUGCCUGGGACACAUCCAUCAUCUGUAUCAUUUGAAAUUUCAUCUUUGUGUUCAUAUCACCUGACAGUUCUCCAUGCAAGUCUGUGUGAUUGUCCUCAAAUGCACUUUCAGAGACACUCCUCAACUGGGAGAUGCAAUUAGUCAAAGCGGCCAUAUAAUUGAUUUUUUCAGACUGAGCUCCUUGCAAAUCUUUCUGGGUCUUUUCUAAGACAAUGAUUUAUUCCUGAAGGUCAGAGUACUCUUUCCUCUGGUGUUCAAUUUCCUGCUAUAACUUCUCCCCUUGGCCUUUAGCUCAGCAUUUUCCUUCCACACCUUCUCCUGUUCUGUCUUAGCUUUUGCCUCAAUGAUUUUGGCUUCAUGAAUGGCAUUUUGGACCCCAUUCAUAUCAGAAGUAGUCUUCAAAUAAAGCCUUUCAAGUCUGCUAUGAUUUUUUCUUUUUCCAAAAUCAGGUCCUGAUUGUAGGCAUUCUGAAGUCUCUCACUCUGCAGGGUAGCUCGUAUCCACCCAAGGAUGUUGCCCAGCAUUUCAUUUCUCCCCUCCA
This 1008-nucleotide long non-coding RNA is filed under the name Dasypus novemcinctus (nine-banded armadillo). RNAcentral describes it as "lncRNA (ENSDNOG00000051786.1)". The record is from RNAcentral. Lineage: Eukaryota; Metazoa; Chordata; Mammalia; Cingulata; Dasypodidae.